CGCGAAAACUUUACAAUGCUGGCAACAGCGAUAAGGGGACCUCGAGUGCCAGGAUACAAUCUUGGCUGUCGCGAUGCCUAAAAAGCAUUGCAUAGCAAGGGCCGGGCAAGACCGGUGCCAGCCGCCGCGGUAACACCGGCGGCUCGAGUGGUAACCGCUAUUAUUGGGUCUAAAGGGUCUGUAGCCGGCCGGAUAAGUCUUUUGGGAAAUCCAGCUGCUCAACAGUUGGGCUUUCAGAAGAUACUGUUCGGCUCGAGACCGGGAGAGGUGAGAGGUACUUCAGGGGUAGGGGUGAAAUCUUGUAAUCCUUGAAGGACCACCAGUGGCGAAGGCUUCUCACCAGAACGGAUCUGACGGCAAGGGACGAAAGCUAGGGGCACGAACCGGAUUAGAUACCCGGGUAGUCCUAGCCGUAAACGAUACUCGCUAGGUGUCAGCCACGGUGCGACCGUGGUUGGUGCCGUAGGGAAGCCGUGAAGCGAGCCACCUGGGAAGUACGGCCGCAAGGCUGAAACUUAAAGGAAUUGGCGGGGGAGCAC
RNAcentral lists this ribosomal RNA (539 nucleotides) under uncultured archaeon. RNAcentral's name for it is "bacterial SSU rRNA". It matches the Rfam family "Archaeal small subunit ribosomal RNA", at positions 340 to 879 of the family's 1478-position model. The record is from RNAcentral.